Octopus sinensis (East Asian common octopus) is the source of this 160-nucleotide small nuclear RNA. RefSeq annotates it as U1 spliceosomal RNA. The record is from RefSeq and is a predicted model, not a curated record. NCBI's taxonomy places the organism in Eukaryota, Metazoa, Mollusca, Cephalopoda, Octopoda, Octopodidae. The transcript has a single exon.
UCACUUACCUGGUCGUGGAUGUUUGUUAUCACUCAGGCAAGCAUCCCAUCCUUUAGUCAUCCAUUGCACUUUGGAUCGCUCUGGGGUGUGGUCGGUUCCAGUCGGGCUGUCCUACGGCGUAUUUUUUUCGUGUGCUUUUUGUGCAUUUUUUACUUAGGCU